CUUUAAGGCAAAAUUAAAGAAAGAAACAAAAAUUUGAAAAUUGAAAUUUUAACAAAGAUUUUUAUGUUUGUAAGGUGACUUACUGCGCGCACCUUAUACCUGGCACAUUUCUGGCUAUUCGUUGUUUGAAGACUUGAUGUGUGAUUCUGCAUAGCUCUCUAAAUCGGGUGCUACUUUUAUGUCGAAGAUAUGUCAACUAGUGCUGGUUGCGUAGAGGAGCUGAAGACACUUAAAUCAGAUGUGGCUUAGGAUCUCUAAACGGCAGGAGUUGAACUGACUAAGUGUUUCUUGAACCACGAUCCUGGAGUGGUCAGUUGACGCUAAGUGACGGCCAGAACCCAGGAUACAUUUUCUACGCACCAGGCAAGCGCCCAGUCCUCAGCAGUUAAAUCGCUUUAUCCAUGAAGAAAUCGGGACGUGCUUUCGUUGAACCGACUUCGGAUUCGACUAGUUAGCGCUCCUAUGUCAUACGAUGCCAAAUUUCCGCUGUCGACGCUCAGGAGGUCUUGCGGGCGACAGUCAGGUUGUGCAUUCGCUGCUUUGUAUGAAAGCCUAGACUCCAGACCCAAAUGAUGGGAGCUUUACCGGCAGAUCGAAUCCGUGCUCUUCGCCUAUUCGCAGAAUGUGGCUUUGAUAUUUGUGUUCUAACUGCUGGCCCGACUUUGCAAAUUUGAGAAAAAGCCCCUUAUAAGUCUUACAUAGCGUUAAUUGUCUUUUGUGCGUAAAAGGCGGUUCAUCGAAAUUGUCUCCGAUCAGUCGACUUCUUAUUGCUUUUUCAAAGCUCUGUUGGUCGUCGAGGAUUUUUUGCGAAGGAGCAAAUCGCUACUUCAGCGAUCUACUGACGAGGACCGAGGCAAUUUGCGGCAAGCUGGUGCGAGUUUGCUUUCCUUCUGCCUCCAGCACGAAGCAAGAGUUAAAUCGGCCUUUAACGGGGACGGCGUUGCAUAGCGCCACAUUAUAGUUAUUUUUCUUCGGCAUAUUUUUGAAGUUUAG
This 993-nucleotide long non-coding RNA is filed under the name Drosophila guanche. The record is from RNAcentral. Lineage: Eukaryota; Metazoa; Arthropoda; Insecta; Diptera; Drosophilidae.